GCGCUCCUAGACUCUGUGGGGAACCUGACGGGCCUCCAAAGUCUGCACUUGGGCUGGUGGUCCACUGUUCGAGCGCUCCCAGACUCCGUGGGGAACCUGACGGGCCUCCAAAGUCUCGACUUGGGCUGGUGC
This 132-nucleotide microRNA precursor is filed under the name Picea abies (Norway spruce). Its description in RNAcentral is "miR3710c stem-loop (pab-MIR3710c)". The record is from miRBase by way of RNAcentral. Lineage: Eukaryota; Viridiplantae; Streptophyta; Pinopsida; Pinales; Pinaceae.